This 45-nucleotide non-coding RNA is filed under the name Schistosoma haematobium. The record is from RNAcentral. Lineage: Eukaryota; Metazoa; Platyhelminthes; Trematoda; Strigeidida; Schistosomatidae.
AUCCAAUUGACGAGUCCUAAAUAGGAUGGAACGCGCAUCGUGGAU